This 264-nucleotide unclassified non-coding RNA is filed under the name Hypocreales sp. RNAcentral describes it as "partial contains 5.8S ribosomal RNA, internal transcribed spacer 2, and large subunit ribosomal RNA". The record is from RNAcentral. Lineage: Eukaryota; Fungi; Ascomycota; Sordariomycetes; Hypocreales.
CGCACAUUGCGCCCGCCAGUAUUCUGGCGGGCAUGCCUGUUCGAGCGUCAUUUCAACCCUCGGAUCCCCGGCUUGCUGGGGAACCGGUGUUGGGGCUCGGGGGACCCAGCGUCCUCCCGUCCCCUAAAUACAGUGGCGGUCACGCUGCAGCUUCCUCUGCGUAGUAAUGCACCUCGCAGCCUGGAGAGCGGCGCGGCCACGCCGUAAAACCCCCUACUUCUUAAGGUUGACCUCGGAUCAGGUAGGAAUACCCGCUGAACUUAA